CUUCACGAGAUGCGGCGCCAAGCUCCGACUGGCCGCACACCAACCCGCAGUUCAUGGGUGGUUCGGAUGAGGAAGCGGCCCCCGCCAUGAGGCUGGGGCAAGAGCUAGUG
This 110-nucleotide non-coding RNA is filed under the name Arthrobacter sp. RNAcentral's name for it is "SAM-IV sequence". It matches the Rfam family "SAM (S-adenosyl methionine) riboswitch aptamer". From Rfam's summary of the family: SAM-IV is a mRNA element that regulates gene expression via direct sensing of S-adenosylmethionine (SAM or AdoMet). SAM-IV riboswitches share conserved nucleotide positions with the previously described SAM-I riboswitches sequence analysis and molecular recognition experiments suggest that SAM-I and SAM-IV riboswitches share similar ligand binding sites, but have different scaffolds. Lineage: Bacteria; Bacillati; Actinomycetota; Actinomycetes; Micrococcales; Micrococcaceae. The record is from RNAcentral.